Molecule: Y RNA, 101 nt
Filed under: Propithecus coquereli (Coquerel's sifaka)
Lineage: Eukaryota; Metazoa; Chordata; Mammalia; Primates; Indriidae
Description: Y RNA (ENSPCOG00000001932.1)
Rfam family: Y RNA
About the family: Y RNAs are components of the Ro ribonucleoprotein particle (Ro RNP), in association with Ro60 and La proteins. The Y RNAs and Ro60 and La proteins are well conserved, but the function of the Ro RNP is not known.
Source: Rfam by way of RNAcentral
GGCUGGUCUGAGUGCAGGGGUGUUUACAACUAAUUGAUUACAACAGUUACAGAUUCCUUUGUUCCUUCUCCACUCCCACUGCUUCGCUUGACCAGCCCAAA